This is a non-coding RNA of Hydra vulgaris (swiftwater hydra), 291 nucleotides long. Lineage: Eukaryota; Metazoa; Cnidaria; Hydrozoa; Anthoathecata; Hydridae. The record is from RefSeq and is a predicted model, not a curated record.
AUUGAAAGCAUAGAUAGAAUAACAAUUGAUAUAACAGAGUUAAAAGGAUUGUCUUCAUCUUCUGUUCAAUCAGUUUCUCGUCCAAAAAAAUCAAAAGGUCGAUGAAAUGUUUAUUGCAUUGGAACAAAAACAAAACAACAUCGAACAAUGAAUUGAACCAAGUAGACUCCCAAUGGCCAGAGAUAAAAGAUUUUAUGGUUAAAAAAGUGGAACAUGAGAACGAACAAGUCUGAAGUGUUUUAUUUUAUAAAAUUUUUAGAUUUUAUUUUGAAAGAUGAUGUUUUUUAUUGA